AGUGCCAGAGCUGCACGUUUACUGCAAGAAGAAUGAUGUGGAGCCCCUUCAAGGUGCUGGUAAGAAUCUGCCUCGGGGACUCAGCUUGGUUAUUUCGUCUAUAAUGUGUGCACAGUGACUUCAUGAGGGUUAACUCUACACAAGAGGGCACACACACACACCAUACUAAGUACUGAACCUAGGAUCUUGUGCAUGCUAUAAGCAUAUCAAGCAAUAUAUCUCCAGCCUUUUGUGUUUUCCUUUUAAAAUUUUUAUUUUAUUUUAUUUUUUAUUUUGAGACAGGGUAAGAUUCCAGGGCAGGGGUUGCAAACUGAAGGCUUAACUGAGUAUUAGCGUUCUGGCAAAGCUACCUUCCCCUGUAGACGGUUGUUGCUGCUGGGGCUCAUAACUCCAAGGUCCUGGCUCAGCAUUGCCCCGCUGUGGGCAGUGGGGUGGGCCUGGAUGAGACCAGGGUUAGGGAAGGGGUUUUAAGUUGGCCAUGUAGGUAAAGCGAUCAGCAGGUACAGCUAAUGCCGUCUGUUAGCUAAUGAGGUCUCGAAUCCUGCCUCCAUCCCUCUGGAGUGGGGUAGGGUGACUGUAAGGCCAUCAGAAUCUGGAGGAGAAGCCAGUGGGCGCUAUGAGCCCUCCUUCCUGGGGCCCUAAGGAUGUUCAGAAGUGACAGCCCUGGUCAAUGGUGGUGACUAGACUCUGUACUGAUGAAGUAGUUAUUACAACUGGUAAGCAGCGGUGCUGCUGGUGACUUAUCAAAACAGCAGCUUAAAAACUACCCAGCAGCUAGAGUGUUUAACAGGGUCUUUUCCUAAAAGUGCUUGCCCUGAAGCUCGAUGGACCAAGCUCAACCUCUGGAACACACAUAAUGGAAGGAGAGAACUGAUUCCUGCAAGCUGUCCUCUGGCACGUGCUGUGAUAUGUCCAUAAGUGUACACAUACAUACGUGCAAAAUAAACACAAGAAAUUAAAAAUCAGAAGUCAUGUACCAUACUGGAAAGCUUUGGCUAAGAGUAAAUGGCAGCAGGACUUCUGUAGUUGGCACAGGGAUCAUCCACACCACUCUGCAGGAGCUGCUUGGCCUUCGCCUGUGACACCUCACACUGCCAUAGCUCAGGGGCUCUACCCAUUACACUCUAGUCCUGAUGCUUCUGACAGCUUCAGGCUGCAAGACCUCAGAAACCCAUGGACAUAGAUGCCCUGGAAAUGUCACCUGCUCUACUAUCAUACUUUGGGUCAUUUGCUGAACUCUUAUGGGAAAAAGAAAUUGUGUUCACUGAAGCCACAUAAGUAUACAGAUGAACUCAGUACUCCUUCACAUCUUGGGAACUCCAGCUGAUGUGGACAUAGAGCCAUUUGUGAGGAUCCAGUACAUGUUCAUCCCGACGAAGGAACCUCAGUCCUGGGAAUGAGCUUGGUUCAGCUGUGUGUUGUCAUGGUGAGCUGGAAGACAUUCAGCUGGUUCUCAACUGUUCCUUUAGACUUAGAGAUUGUUUCUAAUGAUGAAUGAGGGACCUGCAGCCCUACCACAACCGUGGAGAAGGUGCGUGACCAUGGUGCGUGGACAGGUCAAGUGUAUGAACUGUAUGUGUGUGUGUGUGUGUAUUGGGGCUUGUAGCCCAUGUGGGUGGUGGGGGUUCCAGGUAGGAAGAGAGCUUUUCUUCAAGUCCCUGUAGCUCUCAUGUCUGCCUUGCUGCUACUGGGGAGCCUGUGGGCAUCCGGGUGCCUUUCCCAAGCGAGGGCCUGGGCCGGGGCACUCUGAAUUUGGCGGUGCCUGAGGCAGUGCCUGGGUGGAACUGAGCAGUUGCAGAAGGCAGCAGAAACAGGGCUUGCAGAGGCCGUUUCUGCAGCCUAAUGAUUUUCAGAAACCAUUUGUGAGAUUGAGGUAAUGUAUUUCGCAGACUCAAGCAAUUUACUCCUUCCCACCAUGCCAAAUCAGGCCAUUACAUCUUCUUGCUGUGUGCAUGUAGCUGUUGGCACCAGGGGAGAAUGGUCAAGCUCAGGGCCCCCGCCAUAUCUGUGCUCUCUGAUUCUGGGAUUGAUGGGGAACAACACCUUUGAAAAUGGGGUUUUAUGAACACUGGAAGCCGUUAAGCAGUGGAAGCGGGGACGGCAAUUUUACAUUCAGUGGGAUCCCAGGAAUGAGCAGCAGCCGUAGAAGCUGCCAAGUGGAAACUGUUGCUUGGCUCUGCUCACAGUUCCUGCCUGUGUUGGAGUGUGAGGGCCACAUCCAGUGUUACCCUCUGUGACCGCCCCCACCCCCUCUCCCCCAUCCCCGUGAGAAGCUUGGGUGCUUUGCCCACGUGCCCCUGGCCUGCUUCUAGCACACUGUGCAGCCUGGACAGGUGCCUCCCACUUGGAGUGGCUGCCUCAUCACCUAUAAAGUCACAGCCAUGUCAGAGGGUGAGAAGGGUCACGUGGGCUCUAGACCUUAGUCUGUGGGGUACCAUGAGGGUCCUGAGAGGACAUUUCAGAAGACAGUGGAGAGGCUGUGCAGGGGAGGAGUGGAGGUCAUGCUGGUGGCAGGCUCUUAACUCAGCCUGGGAGGGGUUGGGAGUGGGGGCGGGGCACAGCCAGGAAAGCUUUAGGUGCCACGGAAACAUCCUGUUGUGUCUUCACCUGGCCUGGGGAGGGACAAGUGUCUCAAUUGGGAUUGCGGCUGGCGAGCAGGCGAGCAGGCGAGAUGAACCUCAAGUGAGGGUGGGAAGGCUGGGGAAGGUGGGGCUGGGCAGGCAUGAGGGGUGGGUGUCAAGGCAUCUGACAUGGCUUUUGGCCUAUGAGGAGAAGCUCUUGAGAGUUCUCAGCAGGGGAGAUAGAAUGGCUUCAGCUCAAGACUUCUUUCUUCCCUUGCUGUGAGCCAUAAACUGUGGGGUGAAGGCACACACCAGCACACUGUUGCAUUUCACAGUCUGUAGUUGCAGGAAAAUAAAAUA
RNAcentral lists this long non-coding RNA (2921 nucleotides) under Mus musculus (house mouse). Its description in RNAcentral is "long non-coding RNA chr12:108960911-108963832". The record is from RNAcentral. Lineage: Eukaryota; Metazoa; Chordata; Mammalia; Rodentia; Muridae.